AUAUAAGCAAAAUUCACCUUUUUAUGUUCAUUCAUUUAAUUAUGUAUGUGGUCCAUAUUAUGAACCACAUACAUCAUUAAACGAAUGAACCUAAAAAGUGAAUUUUGCUUAUAU
Molecule: microRNA precursor, 114 nt
Organism: Medicago truncatula (barrel medic)
Lineage: Eukaryota; Viridiplantae; Streptophyta; Magnoliopsida; Fabales; Fabaceae
Rfam family: MIR2593 microRNA precursor family
Source: Rfam